Molecule: transfer RNA, 74 nt
Filed under: Nitrospinota bacterium
Lineage: Bacteria; Pseudomonadati; Nitrospinota
Description: tRNA-Thr
Rfam family: tRNA
About the family: Transfer RNA (tRNA) molecules are approximately 80 nucleotides in length. Their secondary structure includes four short double-helical elements and three loops (D, anti-codon, and T loops).
Source: RNAcentral
GCCCGUGUAGCUGAUUGGUUUAGCAGAACCUUUGUAAGGUUCCGAAGCAGGUUCGAUUCCUGCCGCGGGCUCCA